AGAGUUUGAUUAUGGCUCAGAACGAACGCUGGCGGCAGGCUUAACACAUGCAAGUUGAACGGGAAUUGUGUGGUGCUUGCACCAUAUGACGAGAGUAGCGCACUGGUGAGUAACACGUGGGAACAUGCCUUUUGGUGGGGGACAACAGAGGGAAACUUCUGCUAAUACCGCAUAAGCCCUGAGGGGGAAAGAUUUAUCGCCGAAAGAUUGGCCCGCGGAAGAUUAGGUAGUUGGUGGGGUAAAGGCCUACCAAGCCGACGAUCUAUAGCUGGUCUGAGAGGACGAACAGCCACAUUGGAACUGAGACACGGUCCAGACUCCUACGGGAGGCAGCAGUGAGGAAUAUUGGGCAAUGGAGGAGAACCUCUGACCCAGCCAUGCCGCGUGAGUGAAGAAGGUUUUCGAAUUGUAAAGCUCUUUCGGGUGGGACGAUGAUGACGGUACCACCUAAAGAAGCCCCGGCAAACUUCGUGCCAGCCGCCGC
Molecule: ribosomal RNA, 484 nt
Filed under: uncultured bacterium
Lineage: Bacteria
Description: bacterial SSU rRNA
Rfam family: Bacterial small subunit ribosomal RNA
Source: RNAcentral